Molecule: long non-coding RNA, 238 nt
Filed under: Vigna radiata
Lineage: Eukaryota; Viridiplantae; Streptophyta; Magnoliopsida; Fabales; Fabaceae
Description: long non-coding RNA (VRAD_LNC016059)
Source: RNAcentral
AGUUUGUUGUGUAAGGGUGAAUUGAAAAAAAAAUGAGGAAAAAGAAGAAAGAAAAAAAACAAAGAAAAAGAAUUGAAUGAAAGAAAGUUGGGAUAUAAGUCAGAAAGUGGUUGCAACUUAAGUGAAGCAAAAGAGAAACUUACAUGCAUGAUUGGAAUUGUGUAAUCUCUUAGCUCAAGGUGCUUUGUUAUCCAGAAAAACCAUGUUUCUUUCUUAGCCCAGCCUCAAUACAAGCCNN